Heterocephalus glaber (naked mole-rat) is the source of this 107-nucleotide small nuclear RNA. Lineage: Eukaryota; Metazoa; Chordata; Mammalia; Rodentia; Bathyergidae. The record is from Ensembl.
GUGCUUGCUUUGGCAGCAUAUAUACUAAAAUUGGAACGAUACAGAGAAGAUUAGCAUGGCCCCUUUGCAAGGAUGACACACAAAUUCAUGAAACAUUCCAUAUUUUA